Molecule: ribosomal RNA, 23 nt
Filed under: Ascosphaera aggregata
Lineage: Eukaryota; Fungi; Ascomycota; Eurotiomycetes; Onygenales; Ascosphaeraceae
Also listed under: 7 other names
Description: partial 28S ribosomal RNA
Source: RNAcentral
UUGACCUCGGAUCAGGUAGGGUU